This 465-nucleotide ribosomal RNA is filed under the name uncultured bacterium. RNAcentral's name for it is "partial 16S ribosomal RNA". It matches the Rfam family "Bacterial small subunit ribosomal RNA", at positions 339 to 795 of the family's 1533-position model. The record is from RNAcentral.
CUACGGGAGGCAGCAGUGAGGAAUAUUGCGCAAUGGGGGAAACCCUGACGCAGCGACGCCGCGUGGAUGAUGAAGGCCUUCGGGUCGUAAAAUCCUGUCAGAAGGAAAGAAGUGUAUGGUAGCUAAUAUCUGCCAUAUUUGACGGUACCUUCAAAGGAAGCACCGGCUAACUCCGUGCCAGCAGCCGCGGUAAUACGGAGGGUGCAAGCGUUGUUCGGAAUUACUGGGCGUAAAGCGCGCGUAGGUGGUUUUAUAAGUCAGAUGUGAAAGUCCACGGCUCAACCAUGGAAGUGCAUUUGAAACUGUAAGACGUGAGUAUUGGAGGGGGUAGUGGAAUUCCCGGUGUAGAGGUGAAAUUCGUAGAUAUCGGGAGGAAUACCGGUGGCGAAGGCGACUACCUGGCCAAAUACUGACGCUGAGGUGCGAAAGCGUGGGGAGCAAACAGGAUUAGAUACCCCUGUAGUC